This 171-nucleotide ribosomal RNA is filed under the name uncultured bacterium. RNAcentral describes it as "partial 16S ribosomal RNA". It matches the Rfam family "Bacterial small subunit ribosomal RNA", at positions 338 to 524 of the family's 1533-position model. The record is from RNAcentral.
CCUACGGGAGGCAGCAGUGAGGAAUAUUGCACAAUGGGCGAAAGCCUGAUGCAGCAACGCCGCGUGAGGGACGAAGGCCUUCGGGUCGUAAACCUCUUUUCUGAGGGACGAGACAAGGACGGUACCUCAGGAAUAAGUCUCGGCUAACUACGUGCCAGCAGCCGCGGUAAU